Molecule: ribosomal RNA, 253 nt
Filed under: uncultured prokaryote
Description: partial 16S ribosomal RNA
Rfam family: Bacterial small subunit ribosomal RNA
Source: RNAcentral
ACGUAGGGUGCAGGCGUUAAUCGGAAUUACUGGGCGUAAAGCGUGCGCAGGCGGUUUGCUAAGACAGGUGUGAAAUCCCCGGGCUUAACCUGGGAACUGCGCUUGUAACUAGCAGGCUAGAGUGUGGCAGAGGGGGGUGGAAUUCCAGGUGUAGCAGUGAAAUGCGUAGAUAUAGGAAGGAACACCAGUGGCGAAGGCGACUACCUGGACUGAUACUGACACUGAGGUGCGAAAGCGUGGGGAGCAAACGGGA